Molecule: transfer RNA, 76 nt
Filed under: Pseudomonas aeruginosa
Lineage: Bacteria; Pseudomonadati; Pseudomonadota; Gammaproteobacteria; Pseudomonadales; Pseudomonadaceae
Description: tRNA-Val
Rfam family: tRNA
About the family: Transfer RNA (tRNA) molecules are approximately 80 nucleotides in length.
Source: RNAcentral
GGGUGAUUAGCUCAGCUGGGAGAGCAUUUGCCUUACAAGCAGAGGGUCGGCGGUUCGAUCCCGUCAUCACCCACCA